RNAcentral lists this long non-coding RNA (35749 nucleotides) under Arabidopsis lyrata. RNAcentral describes it as "long non-coding RNA (ALYR_LNC002932)". Lineage: Eukaryota; Viridiplantae; Streptophyta; Magnoliopsida; Brassicales; Brassicaceae. The record is from RNAcentral.
CUUUUAACACUCUGGAUUUUGAGUUUAGAUCUAGCUGGAAAAUUAAUUAAAAAUUUGUUCUUUUGAAUGGUUGCAGUUGCUUGCAAAUCAAUGGAACCGAAGCUGGGGUGAUGUAAGUUGUUCUUCUCUCCGAUCAAACUUUUAAAUUUGACCUUCCAAGUAAACGAAACACAGAACCUGAGAUAUGAAUUGUGAAAAUUUCAGGAUGGUUACUUCAAGAUCAGGAGAGGAACGAACGAAUGUGGCAUUGAACACGGUGUUGUAGCCGGUUUACCUUCAGACAGGAACGUAUUUAAAGAUGUAACCACUUCAGAUGAUCUUCUGGUUUCCUCAUUUUAAACAAGAAGAUGUGUCUCUACUUCUUCUGUGAUACUAUAUACAACUGUUAAUAAAUUAGUUACCGAACUAAUGCAAUGAAUAAAUAAACAAUCAACAUGUUACAAAAAUACUUAUGACAUCAGAGAUGCAAAUUCCCCAAAUAAAAAGAAUAAAGGAAGGAAGUGUGAUUAGCAAUAGCAUGCAAGAGGACUGUUACAGUAUUUAUCGCCUAAAGUAAUCCCUUAAUUACUUUAAAUCAUUCGAAAUAAUGAUUAAUAAAUCAAGUAAGUAGAACAAAUCGAACGGUCAGGAUCUUCUAGCGAUCUGUCAUUCUCUAAAAGUCAAAAGAUAAGCCUCUUUAAUCUCUCUCUUUCUUAUUCCGUAUUAGAAAAGAAAACUUCCAUUAGAGAGAGAGAUACCUUGUCCAAACUCUCUGGCAAAUCAUUUGUUUGGUUUUUGGAGUUCGUUUAAGGGAUUGAGAAAAUAUCAACAGAAGAGAAAGAUUCAUGGCUGAUAAAUGUAUCAAACUUCACUUAGCCUCUGUUUUCUUCUUUUUAGGGCUUCUAAUUUCAUCCUUCAACUUGCAGGUACUUGAACCUUCAUAAUCUCUGUCUUCUUUUUACUUUUUCUGGGUUUGAUCAUUUUUGCUUAUUUGUUGGACUCUUUAAGCUACAAGUUUUAAACUUUUGAAGCUGGUUUGUCCCUUGAUCUCAGGGUAUUGCAGCAGAAAAUCUUUCCAAGCAGAAACUGACCUCAUGGAUUCUUCAGGUUUUUGAUCUUAAUCCACCCAAUUUUCUGUAUUGUUUUCGUCUCUUUUAGAUUGCCUUAUCGUUGAUGAUCGACUUUUGUAGAAUGAGAUCGUCAAGGAAGUCAAUGAGAAUCCAAACGCUGGAUGGAAAGCUGCUUUCAAUGAUCGGUUUGCAAACGCCACUGUGAGUUUCUUAUUAUUACCAAUUAAGAGCUACAGAGAUCUUAUCAAUGCUUAUCAAUGUUUCUGAAAAGUUUGUGUUUUUGUGUAUUAGGUUGCAGAGUUUAAGCGCCUCCUUGGUGUUAAACCAACACCAAAGACGGAAUUUUUGGGUGUACCUAUUGUGAGUCAUGAUAUAUCUUUGAAGCUUCCUAAAGAAUUUGAUGCUAGAACCGCUUGGUCACAGUGCACCAGUGUUGGAAGGAUCUUAGGUCUGUUUUCAUUUUUUUAGAUUUCCACUAUCUCUGUCUUUUAUCCAAAUUAUUUACUGACUCUUUUUAUGUUUUGUGUCAAAUUCUCUCCUCAAUUGUCUCACUAAAGAUCAGGUAAACACAUCAUUUGCUUGAGUUUUAUAUUGAACAGUGUGUUACUCAAGUGAUGAUAACAUUAUGGUUUUGGUUUGUUUAGGGUCAUUGUGGUUCUUGCUGGGCCUUUGGUGCUGUUGAAUCACUGUCUGACAGAUUCUGCAUCAAAUAUAACAUGGUAACACAGAUUUCUUAAUGAAGCCAAGAUUGAUGAUGUGUAGCGUCUUUCUUAUGGAAUGAUUAAUAUUAGUUUCUUUUGUUCCCAUGCAGAAUAUUUCUUUAUCUGUCAAUGAUCUCUUAGCAUGUUGUGGAUUCCUUUGCGGACAAGGUUGUAACGGUGGAUACCCAAUUGCUGCGUGGCGGUACUUUAAGCACCACGGUGUAGUAACUGAAGAGGUAAAUUCUCUUUUUACUGCAAUGAACAUAUAUUAAUGGCAAAGUAGUUAAAACGUAUUGAACUUUUGCAAUUUUCUUGGUUCUUCAGUGUGAUCCAUACUUUGACAAUACUGGCUGCUCUCACCCGGGAUGUGAACCCGCUUACCCUACACCAAAAUGUGCGAGGAAAUGUGUUAGCGGAAACCAGCUUUGGCGUGAAUCAAAACAUUAUGGUGUUAGCGCGUACAAGGUCAGAUCUCACCCUGAUGACAUUAUGGCAGAAGUUUACAAAAAUGGACCUGUUGAGGUUGCCUUUACUGUUUACGAGGUAAAUACUAGGUUUUAGAGUGAUCAAAGAUAUGAUUAUAUCAUGGAACUCCACAUUUUCAUGUAUCUUUUUGUUCUACAGGACUUUGCACAUUACAAGUCAGGAGUGUACAAGCACAUAACAGGUACUAACAUUGGAGGUCAUGCUGUUAAACUUAUUGGCUGGGGAACUUCUGAUGACGGUGAAGAUUAUUGGGUAUGAAUCCACUUUUGACGCUCUGGAUUUUGAGUUUAUUAGAUCUAGCCUAAAAAUUCACAACAUUUUCUGUUCUUUGAAUUGUUACAGUUGCUUGCAAAUCAAUGGAACCGAAGCUGGGGAGAUGUAAGUUCUUCUUCCUCCAAUCAAACUUUUAACUAUAACCUUCCAAGUGGCAACAUUAGAAUUCCAGAGAAACACACAGAACCUGAGAUAUAUAAUCUGAAAAUUUCAGGAUGGUUACUUCAAGAUCAGGAGAGGAACAAACGAAUGUGGCAUUGAACAUGGUGUUGUAGCUGGUUUACCUUCAGACAGGAACGUAUUUAAAGGUAUUACUACUUCAGAUGAUCUUCUUGUUUCCUCAUUUUAAACAGGAAGAUGUGUCUCUACUUCUUCUGUAAUACAUAAUUUGCCAGUGUGUUGUUGUUACCAAUGAAAUAAUUAAACGACUUUCGACCCAAAAAGAAGUCUAUUGUACAUAGCAUUUAGCUUUUUUUUUAUAUCCAAUAUAAUGUGUUGUUGUUUCCAUUGAAAGAAUCAAAAGACAUUCAACUAUUCUAUAUACUAGCAUUUAGCUUCUGUUCAUAUUCUAUUUUAUAUGUUUCCUUUUUUAUACAUUCUAGUUUCUACUGUGUUGUAUCUAUACUGUUUCAUUCUGCACUAUGUGUGACCAAUGGUGGAUACUUGAGGUUUCUCAGUUUACUAGAUUGCUCGGCGAUAAGCUGAGCAGUAGUAUUAGGACCUGCUUGCAUAAAAACCUCGUAGCCAUCACCUAACAGACCAGUUCUAUUGGUUGUAAGCUGCCAGAAAACUCCACCAGUACACGAACCACCGGUUCUUGCACUGUCGUAGAUGACAUCAUAAACUCUCUUGAAAAACUUGUUCCGUUUCUCUAAGCUGAAACCAGGAUACUUUGAAGAUUUCCCAAACUCUGUUAUCAGUAAAGGCUUCAUGAUGAUAUUGUUACAGUCUUCGAUAUGUGAUCCGAUCCAUCUGUCCACAAAUGUAUCUUGUUCUCCUGUUCUUGAGCUCUGUAAUGGUAGCCUGAUCUUGAUUUGAUACAGAGAGAAAAUGUGUUAAUAUGACAACAAACCAGAAAACACCAAUUUUGAUCCAUUGAAUAGAGAGACUGAUGACUUACCAAGAAUCCGGGUAGAUAUGGAUAGUGGCGAAAUCGAUAUCGGGAAUUUGGUUAUUGGAAAUGAAAUCUGUACCGGUUAAGACCCUCCCGCCGGGAUUGUAAACCGUUCUUUCCGGUAUAGAAUCUCCGUAAAACCCUUCAAGCCCUAUUUCCAGUAGAUGGAUUGAGUCUAUGGACUUAACAUAACUAGCCAUUUCCUUCACCCAAUUCUGCACACAAAACGACACCGUUUAAGUAUGUAUACGUGUACAUGUAACAUGCAGGCCCGGCUCACUCAUCGGCAAGACCCGGUGCCAUACAAAAAAAAAAAUUCUAUCUUUAAUAAAAAAAUUUGGAUAUAUUUCAUAAACUAUUUUGUAUUUUAUAGCUAUUUGGACCUAUUGUUUUUGUUUAUUAAUUUUGGGCUUCAAUAUUACCUUUUAAAAUAGAAUUUUGGGACCUUUACAUAUAGAUAUUUUAUAAAAUUUAAGCAUAAUUAAAUAGUUAAAUAAUAAAAAAACUAUUAAUUUGGACCUUAAAUUUGUUGGACCCAGUGCAAAUGCACCAGUUGCACGUGCAUAUAACCGGCCCUGGUAACAUGUUGCAUAAUAUUCACUUAUUCAGAGAGAGAAGAGAAAUAACCUGUAGAAUAUUCGAACCAGUGACAUUGCAGCGAGGCUCAUUGAUGAGUUCCCAUGAGAAGAUGGUCGGGUCGUCUUUGUACAUUCGACCAGUGAUUGUGUUUUUCCUCGUCAACACGGUCUGUUUCAUGGUUUUGUCAAACCGCCGGUUUAGUUUGAUUUUUAAGUCGGUACAAAUAUACAAAAUUCUAAAUAUGAUCUAAUCUUUGCAAAAAGAUAUUUAAUUUAAGGGACAUUCGUCAAUAAUAAGUUAAUAAACAUUUUUGGAUUGGUACAUUUUGUCGUACUUUGUUCAUAUUUUUAAUUGAUUAAAACCUAACUUUUGACAUUUCAAAACCGUCGGUUAUCUCGCGUUAACGUGUACAAAUAUAAUCUGAAUAUUUUUGCCAGUAACGUGUCGUGUUACAUAUGAUGAUGACCUCGAUAUCUUUUAACUGAUACUUAUCUAAUCAAAUAAGUAUAUGAGAUCAAUUUUUCAUAUUAUUACUAACCUUCACGUGGUUCUUGUAGAAUUGCUUGACAGCUGAGUUUGUAUAGAAUUCAUCCGGUUCAUCUAAACCGGCCCAUUCUACGUACUUUUUUCUCCCUCCAUAGUCUUCGUAAUUAUUGACUAAACUAAUUAUCAAUUUAAUUUUAAACCUUCCAGCUUCAUAGACGACAAAGUCUAGCCCCUGCUGGCACAAAAACUUUGUAUCAAUUACUCAUAAAACGCAAUUAUAGUCUGCUUUUAAUUUAUCUAUUAAUAAAUUAAGAUAUUUUUAUUAGGUCAACAAAAAGGUAUCUAGUACCAAAUUCUGCUUCUAAUUAUGAUUAAGAAUAUUAAAUUAUAUCUAUGCUUUUGCCAUUUUUGUGAUUAUCCACUUUUAUAUUAGCCUAUGAAAAAGACACGACUAUUUUUUUCAAGAAACAACCAAAAAAGUUUGAAGUUCGUUUGUCGGAAAGUAAUAUUUUGAAAUUCGAAUCAUUCAAUUUAGAUUCAACAAACAACGGUCAUCCAAAGAUUAAUAUACAUGACCAUAACAUAUUAUAUACCGGUAAAUAUUUCUUUAUAAUUCCGUAUAAUAGUGAAUACAUAAAAAAUAAUUAAAUAAAUAUGUGAGAUAGAAUGAUAAAUUUAUUAAAUCAGUAAGCUAACAGAUCAAAUCAUGAUAAAAAUAUAUUAAUUUGUUGUAUAAUUGAAAAAAAAUAUGAAAUUGUGAUUUCAUCGUUUUUGCAAUGAGCCAUCAAAGUUCUUAAAAUAUAAAAUAUACGUGUGGUUUACAAAAAAAAAAAAAAAUGUGUGUAUGUGUAUGCAUGCGUGUUACCUUGAAAACGUCUUCACUAUAGGAGCCAGGAGAGAUCUGAAGAGGAAUGUAAUCUCCUUCGUUGAAACCCCAAAUCCUAGCGACGUUCAUUCCCACGGCAGAUGCUUGCCGGAGCGCCGUCGUGACAAUACCCCUUCCUUUAGCCGCCGUGUCAGCCGCGGUGGUCAUCAUCCAAUAAGCAUUGAAGCCGUUUAAGUAAACUUGUUCUCCGUUCAACACGAACUGCGUGCCGUUUCUCCCGACGAAACCUGUAUUUGCGGCGACGCAAAUGCGGUUGUUUCCGAUGAGAAACGGAAGAAAGAAAAAGAAAAACAGCAAGAUGUUUAACAUUGUGAUUUGUGAAACGUUUGCCGACUUGAAGAAAAGAGAAUGACACAACAUAGAACUUUAAAGACAUUUGUGUGUGUUGUGUUAUAUAUAUACAUUACAGAUGUCUUACUGCCUACGCAUUUGAAUACUAUUCAUUUUUGUCACCAUAUUGCCUACGUUUAAUUGAAAAUAUGUACACGGAACGCGUGAAAUUUAGAUAGAGUUUUUUUUAACGUUUAGCAAAAUCAUUUUUGAACUUGUAUUCUUGGGUUAAGAAAACUAUUAGUACUUUAUAUACUGAUACAAUUUUUCUUUUUAUUUUUUUCAAAAUAAUGAGAGGUUUUAUUUUUGGCUUAAAAGCGUACUAUUUUUCAUUUCUCCAUUAAAAGGGUUUCAAAUUGUUAGAUUUAAAUAAACUAUAAAUUUUCUUACAGUGAAAGUUUAAGGAAAUUAUUUUGGCAAUUGGUUUUAGAAUAUAUAGAUGAUACGAAGUCGAAAUAAAAUGAUGAUACUAAAAUUAUUUACUUUUGAAUGUAAGCAUGACACGCAUGUGGAAUGGAGCUAUCAUACUUUAAGUUAGUACAUAUGUAAUGUAAGAUUAUUUUUAUUUCAUUAGGUCGACGACUCAAUCAUAUAAGAUGAAUUAUUGAAUUUAAAUUCUCAACAGAAAUAAUUAUUGAAAUUGAGAAACUUCACAUGGAUUUUGUACUCUCAAAAAAUUGAUUCGAGACUUUUUUAGGAUGCUCUGCGUUUUAAAACGCCGUCGUGACAAUACCCCUUCCUUCACAUGGAUUUUAGAUACUUUUUUUCUCUUCUCGGGCCCAUUAUGUUUUUUUUUUUUUUUACAUCUUUGGAUCGACAAGGCCCGAUCCAUAGCCAAUCCCUACUACGCGGGGUAACACGACUUAGUGGAGUCAAACUUCGGUGGGGAAGGCGGAGUCAAAUGGACUUAACCACUUGACUAAAGGCACAUCUCCCAUCUCCCGGGCCCAUUAUGUUUAGACUUUAAUUAUUUAAACUUGUCUAGCAAAUAACUAGGGAAUUUGGGAUGAUUAACAAAUAAAUAAUUUGGUCUACACCAUGUGAAAAUGAGAUCUAAGAUGGGCCAUUCUCUUCUCAAGUUUUGUUUCACGUUAUUGGGCCUUUGAUAAAGCCCGUAAAUUUUGUGUGCCAAGUUAAGAAUGUAGGAGAUGCAGGUGAUAUUUCCCAAGUAUGGAUCAAAAGGCUCUAGAAGCAACAAAUUGGCAAAGUCUCUCACUCAAAAUCCAAACCAGCAAUGGGAAAAUCAAGACACCACUUUCCUUCGAAUUGGCAGUUUGGUCAGAGCUUUAACAGCAACUUAAACUUCUGAAAGCACAUUUUAACUAUGGACAAUGUAAAUAAAGAUUUGUUUUCUUUAAUGAAAUGUUACAGAAUUCCAGUACAACAUAAAUCUAACAUCCAAAAGAGUGUUACCCGGUCAAACAUGAAGUCUGCAAACAUGCUUUUACUUUUAUCUUCGCAUUACACGAUUACGCUCUCUCUUGCGAAAUCGUUCUAACAUGAUUUGAUCAGUUGCUGCUUGUCUGCUUUUCCCUGAGUCAGCAUUAUUGUUACUACUGCUAGUAGAAGGUUUAGCUCCUUCACCAUCCGCUUGAGGUCCACCUCUAUCUUUGUAUAGCUCAGGAUGCUCUGCGUUUUAAAAGUUCAUAUCGAUCAAUACAAGAAUCAACACGAACAUGGACUAACAAAUGGAACAAAAGAGAAAAAGGAGUCAUAAAGCAAAACCUCUUCUAAGCUUCUCAGCAUAAUCUUUUCCACGUUGGAAGUAAUCCGCACUAUAACUAGACGGAAUGCUAAACUCUGACUUUGGCCGACCCAUAAGCCUCCUCUCUUGCAGAAGCUUCUUGGCAGCUUCUGUUUCUUCAAUGUUCUUCAGCUUGUAUCUAAAUAUUAUCCAUCCAAAAAAAACCAUUAAUCUCUAAAAUACUCAAAACACAUGUAUCUUCAAUCUAUGAUUGAGAAUGUAUUCAUACUCGAUUGGGAGUUGGACUUCUGCUAUUCCGGUAGUCCACUGCGUCGAGCUCUCUUCCGAGCUCCGCUUCUUAACCUGAGAAGGAAGGAAGGAAGGCUUUCAGUAACUAAUAACAAUCUUAAUUCCUGUUACACAUAAAUACUAAAAACAACCACAAAGCAACUUACUUUAAGAUGAUCAGGUAUCUUAUAUAACUCAUCUUCCACUCGCUUCAAUUCGUUCUCAACCUCCUCUGCAUCAUCAAUAUUCUUCCCCCUUUUCUUCGCCAAUUCUUGUUCAAUGUACUUUACCCUAAUGAAUCAAAACAAUCUUCAACGCUUACAAAGACAGCUCACUCUAGCUUAACCUAUUUUACUACCAAGAAAAUUAGGGCAAAACUUGUAAAGAGAUGCUUACAUGUUGGGAUCUUCAAUCAAAACAGCAGUCUCUUGAGCAAAAGUAUCUUGCAACACAAGCUCCUCUUUCUCUCCUUCAGCUUCAGUUUUCUCCACUGGUUUCACUUUUCCGAUGCUAGAUUGCGCCGUAGAUAAAGCUGGGAUCCCUAAUUUUCUCUCUCUCAGCUUCUGCAGAAACUUCACCUCCUCCAACGCUAAUCUGUAGAUCAACCAAAAAUCAAACCUUUUUAACAACCCAUCAAAUUAAUGGAAGAAACUCAAACGAUAAAACUCCAAAAGAAAAAAAAAACCUAAAGAUGGUGAGACUGACCUUCGCUUCUCUUCUUCAUCUGAAAUUGCGGCUUUGUUUACAUCAUUAUCUUCCUCUUCCUCCUCGAAGCUACGCUUCCUGAAAUUUCUCUUCGGUGGCAUCGCAGACAGAAACUAUCGGAUUCUUGAAAGAGCUUCUGGGACUUGAAUAGUGAAGAAGAAGACGACGACGACUCUAAGCUUUUAGAUUGAUCUGAAUUCUGAAAACACACUCCGUCGGCUAAAAUCACCAGCGAAACGCAUCGUUUUAAUAUGGGCCCUAUUAGUUAGCCCAUUAUAUAAUUUUUUUAAAACAUUUAAAUAAGAUCAUUUUAUAUAAUUUAUUACGGGCCAUAUUAGUUAGCCCAUUAUACAUUUUGCCAGGCCCACGUUAGCUUGUAUUCAACUUAAAAAGUGUGCAUCACUAGUCCAAGCUCUUGGACGAACACUUGAUCUCCAAGCAAGCAACCCUGCCUUAAUCUAUAAACACUUAGCCUUUUAACGAACCAAUAGUCUCUCAUCCGUAGCGACAGAUCAAAACCCUAAGAUUACCGAUCAAUAGUCUCUAGCUUUCUUGAUCAAUCCGUCAAAACCAACCAUGGAUGGUGCAUAUAUAGUUCUCACAAUUCAUCAGUUAGGAUCUCUCUCCACCGAAAUUGUCUUCUUGUUUUCUUUUGUUGCUUUGCAUCUGUAGAUCCGAGAUUGACUGUUGGGAAUUUCAUGUGACGUUUUAAGUUAAUAAUGGUUUAUACAUUUUUUCUCACAACGAUAAAAAUCACAUCAACAAGAUAAUCACAGUAAUACCUUCUUCUUUUUUUUUGUCAAUUACAGUAGUGUUAAAGAUAACCUUUCUAGGUUUCUCUCAUCAUAACCGGUUACAAUAUAUAUUCAUGUUUUAUUUGUUUGAUAAACUUUCAAGAAUUACUUUUUAGUGGCAAGCCUUUCCUUAAUCUUAUCAACCAUCUUAGACCCCACCUGAAAAGUCUUAGUCAACACAUCUUCCGGCAAAGCAGGCUCCGCCGCAAAUAGGGUUGCCGCAACGGAAACCGUUCCGGGCAACUGACUAUUAAACGCCGACAGAACAGAAGCCGGAGAUUUCCCAUUGUUCUUCUGAAAAUGCACAAGCCCUCUUGGAAAAACGAAAACUUCACCAAUCUUAAUGGUUUUAGUGAAAAGCUUAUUCGCCGUCGUGAUAAAUCCAACUUCGAGCUCUCCUUCGAGGACGUAGACGACUUCGGUGGCGCGUGGGUGAGUGUGCGGUGGGUUUAAACCGCCCGGCGCGUAGUCUAUACGUGCUAAGGAGACGGAGAGAGUGUUGAGGCCUGGGAUCUUCUCUACGUUGGCUCCAGUCACGGCGGAACCCAUAGUGGAGUUUAUGGCGGCGGGUUUUGAGAUUCCGGCGAAGAAGAAGUCGGACGCCGUGAUGUUUGAUGUUUCCUUGCAUGGGAAUCCAUUCAGUUUGGUUCCUGCCAUACGCACAUCGUGGCCAUAAGAUAGUAAGUCAACUUAGAUUUUUUUUUAGUCAACUUAGAUUUAUUGGUGCAAUUAAUAUUCCCACAAAAUAUCUUUGGAAAAAAAAACAAAAUCUCUAAUUUCAACAUAUGUAUUAAUUUUACUUUUGGUUUGAAAUUUACAUAAAAGGUUAAUAAAGUUUGAGAUGAUCCUGAUAGAUAGAUAUUAAAACAUGACGAUAGAUUGAAAAUUUGAACUAAGAUAAUUUCUACCGUGAGAUUUAUCGGCAACGCAGAGAUCUUGAAGAGCGUCGGGAUCGUAUGCACGAGUUGAAGUGAUAAUGCAAGAUAACACAAUGAUAAUAGAAAUUCUCAAAUUCAUCAUGGCUCCAAAUUAAAUAUUCGUGAAAAGAUGGAUUUUAUUUAACUAUGAAAAAAGAAGCUUGAAGUUUUGAUACUUAUAGAAUCUUAGACCAGUUUGAUCGACAAGUCAUUUGCUUGGCGAAGAAAAAAACCGAACAUUUUCAUUUGUCUUGAAUACCAAACUAAGAAAUGUACGUCAUAGCUAAUUAGUAGGUAAAACGAUGCCUUUCUGACAUUGUUUUUCACUAAAGCAAGUCUUAUUGAGACAAAAGGAUUUUUGGUAAAAGAAUGUGUAUGUAUGUGUGUGUGUAUAGACAGAUUGUUACUUUAAACAAAAUAUAUGAAUUGUGUCUCGAUUGUUUCCGACGUCAUAUUUCUUGUGUAUGUGUGUGUGUGUGUUUUACAUGAGAAAACAAAACAAAAUAAUAUAUUAUUUCAAGCUUUAAAAUAGAAAAAAUUCCCAGUUUCCAAAACAAUAAUUUUGGAAAUUUUUGUUUGCUUAUGUUUAGGUUUAGUAUUUACGGCUAUAAGCCUAUAACUAACAAGGAAAUUUUCUAAAAUCUUUUCAAGGUACGGGUUUAUUUAAAACAAUAUACACUAAACGCAAACACAUACCCAAAUGAAAUCAUCAAUGUGUUAUGUGUAAGAAAGUGUUUAAUAGUUCUCGAAGUCAAGUUUUCUCAUUUCUUAUUUUCUCAUACACCCUAUAACUUCUAAGUAACAUGCAGUGUGCAGAGGUGAUUGAAUGUUACUUUUUGUAUACAGCAUUAUCAUAGUGUAUACUAGUAUCACCCAGUGGGCCUGAAUUUGAGAUGCUGAUGAAGAUAAAGCUCAUUGGGAUGUAACCAAUAUUAUCAGAGACACUAAAAUAAGGGAAAUGCUCUUAUUUCCCUUGUUCCUACGUCCAAUGCUCGUCCAAAGGAUCGGAUGUCUCGAUAUAUUUUACAAAUAUCAGAUAAAUAAAAAAAAAUAUAAUGUUACAAGAAUUUAUACAACUUCGAACUUAUCGUAUGACACAAAGGCCUCAAAUAAAAAAAAAUAAAAAAAAAUUAAAAAUAAAAAAAAGGCCUCACAUAAAUUGUCAUAUUUUUUUUUUUUUUUAACAACGUUUACUUCACAUAAACUUUUCUGGAGCUACUUACUUAUCAUAGUCUUCUCAUCGCAUGGGAAGAAAAAUCUAGGAAACUUGGAAAACAAGGAACCAAACCGUGAAGGCAUUGAGGAGAAGAAGCUGGUGGUGGUGUUGUAAGAAAGAGAGGUUGAUUAGGUGAGUGUGGGAAUGAAAAAUUAGUAAACGGUGGUAAUGGCCAAUUUGACGCCGGAAUCAACUGUGACGACAUCAUUUGAUUCGCCACAUUUUGCCGUGCCACAGCCAUCGCAGUCAACUGGUGGUUGUUCAUUAUUCCAUAGUCUAAUAUAGCCGAAGGAAAAUAAGGAUUCAUCCCCAUCAUUGACAUCACCUGCAAUUACAACAUCAACUUUGGUUACAACUUAGUUUCUGAAUAUAUAUAUAGCACAAAUUUUAUGUCCAAAUUGAUAAUAGGUCUAGACUAGUGGAACAAUAACGCAGUGGCUACCGUAUAAAACAUUUAGUUGGUAAACUUAAUGAAAUGCAAGAUUAAAGAAAUUUCAAUCAAUAUAACAUGUUCUUUUAUAUAACUAAUAUAUAUAUAUCACACUUGUUUAUAGUUAUUUUCAUGAUUUAAUUUUGAGCAUAAAAUAAUAUUAAUGAGUAGUGCGAUAUUAAAAUUGCAAACAUAGAAAAUAGAUUGUGUAGAAUGUUUUUCUUUAAAAAAAAAAAAAGAAUGUGUAAAACGUCUAAUAAUCAUCUAAUCGACCACCUCAAACGUGUGAUUUGAUUAGGUAGGUUAUAUACUGUCUACCCUAACCCCGAUAUAUGAAUCAUAACACCCAAUCCUCCCGGAUGAUCACCAACAAGUAAAUGUGUAAAUAGGAUCAAGGAUACUGAAUAAGGUUAAAAUAUAGACCUUGAAUUGAAGCUGAAGACUUUUCAUAUACUCAAUGGCAUUAUCGAGAACUGAAACCUUGUCCGUCUGAAAACCAAAACAAAGAAAACACCGCUGGUUAUUGGAAAACAAAAUGUAAGGCAAAGAUUCCUUGAAACAUAUAUAUAUGGAACUUUAUACACACAAAAAUGCAUAGUAACAUGUUAUAUAUAUAUAUAUAUAUAUUAAUAUAUAUCAACCUUGUGACAAUCAGGUACAAGUUGCUGUAGCGUACGCAUCUUAUUACACAGCUCGUCGCUUCUUCUUCUCUUGGAACCUUUUCGUAUCACUGAAGGAACUUCUCUAGUAAACCCAUCUGAUUCCUCCUGAAUAAAAAAUUUCCAGUGAAACAAAAUUUUAAAAACAGUCAAAACUAAUAUAUAAUACGUAACAAGGAAAUAUAUCGACUUACAUCACUGAAGACCUGGCUACGACGCCGUUUUGGUUUCUCAUGUUUGUUUCUCAAAUAAUAUCGAUUAUCUGAAAUAUGAUCAUGAUGAUCACCAGUUUCAGAAUGUUCAUCUGGGACAACAACCAACAAAUCUGUCUUAGGUACUUCUUCUUCUACUUUAUGAAUCUCUGGAACAAGUUGGAGAUGAUUAUCUGUUUGAUCAUGAUCAAAGUAGUUGUCGUAGCUCCAUUUUAAGCCGUGAAUUAGACGAUCUUCAUCACUUCUUCCCUUUUCUUCUAUAUCAUGAUCUUUCACAGCAAAUGAUCCAACGUCGUUUCUCCAUCCUAGUUCCAUGAAAUCUUGAUUAUUGAACCUACAAAAAGUAGUUUAACUGUUAGGGUUUACGAGAUUACGGAUAAAAAGAAAAGAUACAAGUGGAAUCGUAAGACUCCGAAACCUCUCCCUUAAUUAUACGUACAUGUUAAUUAAAGAGAAAUCGGAGAUGUAAAACUCGAGAAACUAUUCUUUUUCAGGGACUUGAGAUCUGUCUGAUAAAAUGGAACCCCAUAAGAUUAUGAUAUAGGUCUUAUUAUAGGAUACGAUCGGAGAUCGGGAGAUGGAUAUAGUACAGCUAUUAACUCAACCAUCGAACCACUUAUGUUUUGCCACGUUUCGUAUUCUAAAUGGUAAUUCUUUUUUUUAGAAGUUUUCUUUCUUUCUUUAAACGGGACACCGACAGCAAUAAAAACAAUUCAAACUAGAUUUUAAUACUAGUACUAACGCGUUGUUAGACAUAUUUUUGUCACUUGAGAUCAAACUGAUAUUUCCUGUGUUGUUUUAUGAUAAAAAAAAUUCUAUUAAAACAAUGUUAUUUGAAAAUUUAAUGUAUUUUUUUCAAAAAGAAUAGUAUUUGUUUGAAUAUAAAUAUAAUUAGACACACCUAACGUUAAUAAAUAAAAAGUUGGACAAAAUAACAUUAAUAAAUAAAUAAAGUUGGAGAAAAAAAAAUCUAAAACAGGUAUAUGAAAGAAAUCUUUGACGGUACUAGAUACUCUUGCUUUAUAUGGGUAUGUAAUUCUGUUUUUAAUUAAUUAUCCAAAACGAAGCAUACUUGUGUAAUGAAUUUAGACUUAACUAAAUAACAGUAAAACUUUCUUCCCCAAAAAUCUACGCAUGCAAGUAUACAACGUCUUAUAUGCACACACGCACACAUAUAUGUAACGAUUUUUUUAAGUAAUCUUAUUGGUUAAUUAAUACUCGGGCAUGUGAAAGAGGUAUAAAUCUAUCAAAUAAUUUGAGUGACAUUUAAUUUUGAUGUUUUCUCCUUCAGCUGUAAUACAUAACGGGUAGGACCAUAUUUAUCCUUUUAAUUAACUUUCCCGUAAUGCUUAUCAUUUCAUCCUUGACUAGUCGUAUACUUUAUCUUAGUACAAAAAAAUAUCUAUAAUAGAAAAAUAGACGCCUUAAGAAAUCUCAAAAAUAAAAACAUUAUAGACGCCAUUUGUUUAGGUGAUAAGAGCAUGAUUAAUAAUGAUUGCUUAAAAAUAGUUAUUAAGAGUAUUAAAAUAAUAAAUUUGUAAAAGUAACAUAUGGAUGGAUCUUAAUGUUAAUUUUGGUUUUUAGCUAAGCUACUUUAGCUUUGGAUCUUAGUCUUUAACAAGAUUUUUCUUUAAUUUUUUAGCUAAGAUUUAUCUAAGAAAUGAUUAAGACACCACCUACAAUGGUGGUCUAAGCGGUCCCUCUGAAAAGCUCAACCCAAAACUUUUCGUAAAUAAUGAAAUAAAUAGCAAUAUUAGUUAUGGAGCUGUUUAUUCAUUUUACCAAAUAGAUGGUUCUAUACAUAUUACCUAUUUAAGUAUUUGUGGGUGUUUAUGAUAUUUCAUAUCUAAAAGAAUUUACAUAAUCAUAAUUCUGCUGUUUUAUUCUUUCUCUACGGUGGACCAUCGAUUAUUUUUCAAGUGAGAGAUAUACAUUUGGAGAAUUAUUUGGGUUGUUGAAAAGAAAAUCAUUUUAGACUUUUAUCCAAAAAACCCACGUGGUCUCUGGGUCCUAAGCCUAUUCUAUAAGCGAAUCAGUUUUUUGUUUUCUGAAACCCACACGACACAUUUAUUGGAAUUUUAGAGACACGUCGUCAUCAAUCACACACCAAGCAGGUGCGAUGGUCCACACUAUUGAUUCAAUAACCAAAACUCAACAAUAAUUACAACAUACUGUAUUUUGUAUUACAAAAAUCAUGGUCCACAUAAACCUUUUUUUUUUUUUUUUCUGUUAAACGGGCUUGCAAUGUCCACAUAAAUAAAACUUCUUUAUGAAAAAAACUCCAAUUAUUACCACAUAUUCUUCUGUAUAUAACAAAAAUCAGAAUAAUAUUAACGCUUUAACAGACCAACAAAAGAACACCAAAUAAAAAAUUAUUCCGGGUAUUUUGUGAAUCAUUAGAAAAGAAGGAAAUAUUUUGUUAAGAUAAUGUUUAAUAGUAACUUUCUGCGUUGAAUCAAAUGGGCCUGAAGAUCCUAAAAGAGAGGAAGAGAAGGCGUGUUGUUCACGUGAUGCCCUCGUGAUGGACAUGCUUGUGUCUCUGACACUCUUGGGUACUUUAUAUUUCGUUGGUGUCUUAGCGAGCGACGAAGCAAAACCACAGCCACUCCAUGUAUCCAUCUCCUAAACGACAACGACCUCUCGGAAUAUACAUUCCAAAAUCCAAUCUAAUCUUAGGGGCCAUUCUUUUUUUUCUCUCGUUCCAAUCCACUUACACAGUAAUCAUGAAAAAACGUUUAUGCCACUGAUUCUAUUUUUUUUUUUUUUUAAAUAGAAUUUCUCCCAUCAUUUUCUCUUGGAACUUUUAUAGUGAACUAAUUCCAUCACACACACGUCCCAACCCGUACCGUACAUUCAUUUUUUAAUAAAGAUAUCAUAUAUAUUCCUGGAAAAAAUAACAUUUUAAGAAUAACAUUACAGGUAAAACUUUAGUCACAAAAUAUACGAUUCCAAAGAUAUUUAUGAACCAAUUAUUUGUUGAAACUUCAAUCAUACUAGUUUUCAUUUUUUUCAAAUGAAACGAAUAGCAAUUCUGGCUUGUUCCGGUCUGAAUUUAGGUUUGGAUUUGGUUUGGUUUUAGUCAAACAAAAAUGUCAAAGAUUUGAAUGUGAUUACAACUAUUUUUAAAAGAAUAGUUAAAACUAUAAUUUUUUUUAAUAAAUGUUGGUUUGGUUUGAUUACCAAAAUGAAAAAUGUAUCUCUUUUUUUCUCAAAAGAAAAGGGAAAAAAAAAAGAAAAAAAAAACAGAGUAAAAUCACAUCCGUGCAGGUUUAUCCAUAUAUCCAAAUAAGAUUUGGAGCCAUGGCCCAUUGGAGAGACCAUCUGAAGCAAUAUAUGACUACAAAAAAGAAAAUGAUAAUUUAACCGAAAUAUCGAUUGGGCUUUUUUGGUUGGGCCUAUAUGAAUAACCCAAAUAGCGAUCAGUUAUUGGUCUUUCGUUUCUUGAAUUUGAAGCCUCUGGUUCACCAAGAGUCUCUUGGUUUGUCUCCUUCUCGUGGAAAUUAUCUCUCUCUUCUCCGUCCGGCGGCGACGCAGCCAUUUUACUCGUCAUUCUCCAAGCAAAACCCUCCGUUGCGUGUUGAGAAGUCUCUUAAUCUCCGUUGUUCUGUAGCCUGUGGAUCUUCUAGAAUCGAAGGCGGAUAGGUAGUACCGUGAUGGCGGAUUGCGUGAUCUUCGGCGGAGGAAAUUGUGGAGGUCCCAAUUGUUUUCAGCCAUCUGAUUUUAAGCUCACUAUAGUGGUACGGUAAUGCAACAUCGAAAUUCGCUAAAUUGUUCACUUUUCAAUGCAAUUUCGAUUUUGUUCAUGAAGCGUUAAAUGAGGCUAUAGAUUUGACUUUGAAAGCUGUAUUCAUGAAGUUAUCUACCGAACAAUUUGUGUUGUAUCUUAUAGUUUAGUUUACUAUAAGAGAGAGAGUUUUGGUAGAAUGCUCUUUCUUUUGUUUAGUGGAUUUAGCCUUCUCGUUGGUGAGAACCUUAUGUGCCAAUGUUCGUGUAAUGGAAUGGGCUUGGUGCUCUUGGCAUUCGACCACCACCUCUAAUUUGUGUUCUGACUAAAACAUCUCCCAUAAAGUUGGGAUUUUUCUUCUUCUUUGUUCAUGUUCUUAGAGUUUGGCAAAAGUGACUGGGUCGUGGGGAAUCUGUAGAAGACUUUGUAAGGCGUAACCUUGGUGAUGAGGUCUUUUGAGCGCUUAAUUGAAACAUUUUUGUUUAGGUUGUGUGAUUAAUAGGAGUUUCUUUGAACUUCAAUUCGUACCAGUCUUCUUUUGUUUAUAACCUGGUGCUCACAAAAUCUGGAUGCUCUGCAUUUUUCUGCAUUCAGGUGUUUAUGCUGGUGAUCCUUCAUAACUGAGUAUUAAAGCAGACUGGAGGAGAAUGGUGACAGCAUCAUUGGUGGUACUUUGAAGGCAAUUCAGGAGAGAAAUAGAGCUCCCAAGGAAAACCGAGACCCGUGCGUAAAGCUUACUAUUCCAUGAUGUUCUUCCUUUUCUCUUAACAUGAUACUGCAGGCACUUGCCAAAGCAAAAGGGCCAAACAGUUUGUUUUAUAUGCAAAUGUGUUUGUUUUCUCUCCCCCUUCUCGAUGAAAACAAUGCAAAAGCUUGUAAACACUUCGUUAUGUUGUUUUUUUAUUUGGGCAGGUUGGGUAGCAAAGUUAAGGUGUCUUGGAAGCUCUCAAGUAUUACUAAGCUGAAACUCCAGAAAGGAUCUGUACAGAGCAAAGUGUAGUGAUGACUGUCCCAUCUCAUUUGCUAGUAGUCUCUUGCACCCACUCUAUGUAAGUUUCUUGUUUUUUCAAACCAGUUAUGUGCAAAUUCGAGUAGAAUAUGCUAACGGGUUCUUAUUUUUCUGUCGCCAAAAUUCCUUUCUUCAAGCUUGUCAGAUUGAAUAUGUACACUUAAACUAUGACAUCUUAAAUCAUGUGGAUUUGUAGAAUUUCCCAAUGAUGAGUGACUUGAUGAUAAAGUUGCUGAAGCUGUGUCAUUCAUCAUCUGGUCAUGAUGGGAUAUUCUUGGGUGGCAAUUAUGAUGCUGCUGGUGUAGCAUUGGGUCGGUGUGUGGAAAGGACUUACGAAACUGCAACCCAAGUCAAUGAUUUCAUCUCUAGGUACGCUUACAAGUAACAAAAAUACUAAAAAUAGCCAAAUAGAUAUUAAGAUUGCAGUUUAGACUUUGACAGAGUAUGUGAAGGUUCCAUUAAUAUUCUCAUAAGUAUUACUAUAAGUUGUGGCCAAAAGAGCAAAAAUUACACAAAGCGGGAGAAAGAUAGUAGAAGUCUAGAACAAAUCGAUCAUAACUCUUGAAUCUUGAGGAUCUUCGUGAAGAGGUGAGAUCUUGAAACUGUCGAGUCUUGGAGAUUUCUGUUGCUGCGUGUAAUGGGAAGAUGAAGAAGAAGAAGAUGGUGGGAGAAUCAUGGAGGACGAAGAAGGGAAUUCAGGGUUUGUAGGGUGAAGGAUUUGUGUGAGUAGAAGAACAAUUGACGCCAUUGAUGAUCAACUUCGAAGAAAGCUUGUGUGUGUGAUUAGGGUUUUGGAGUAGAUUUUGUCUUCUCAUGUGAUUCUUAUCUGUCUUUAUAUAUAGAGAAAAAAAGUGUGGGCCUGUGGUAUUGUGGAUCGAUGAUGUGUCUGUGUUUUAGAAUCCAGUGGGACUCUUAAAUCUUUGGGUGGCAAGUGGUUUUUGUCUGACUUUUGUGUCGCAUUUAUAUCUCGCCCCCAAAACCAGCUGUUCCACGUGGCUUAGGAUUCUUCUUCUUGGUUUUAAUUUUCUAAUAAACAUUAACCAUAAGAUAAUAAAUCAAGAUUUUUAACUUUUCUUGAAUACAAUCUACAAAAACAUUAAUUUUCCCUAUGCUUACAAAUUAGAAAGCAGAAAAAGAACUCGAAUAACAAAUACUCUCUUCGUUAUUUUAUAAAUGAUAUUUUACAAUGUUUUCAGUUUUUAUUGCAAUAUUAAUUAGUUUUUUAUUGGUUUUGAUGAUUUAUAUUAUACAGAUUAUUUUUCUAUUGGUUGAUUAGAUAAUACAUGAUGUUUUUGUUUAGAAUUAAAUAAAUAUUAAAUGAUUUCUUAAUUUAUGUGUAUUCUUUUAAAACAUCAUUUAUAAAAAAAAACGGAUGGAAUAUAUUAAAUAAAGUGUAGCCAACAUAAUGUUGUUUGUUGGAGAUGUAUUGUGAGACAAAAUCAAAACAUCAAGAAAUACCAUAGGAAUAACUUUGUGUCAAUUAAUUUUUUAUUAGGUAGUAGUUGAAACUAAAACCAUCAAAUCACAUUAAAUGGAAAGACGACCCAUAGAUAAAAAUACAUUAUUCAAUAUAAACCCCUACAUGGCUCCAUGUGUGGGGGCAAUGACAUAAACACACAUGUUGACUUUUGUUUAUAAAACAUUACAUACUUAUUUCGGGUCAACCAAAUUGAUUGUUUAAGCAUAGGGCCUUUGAUUUUCACAGUCCAAAUUAGGCCCAGUUGCUACUUUAAACAGCCCAGUAUAUCUCUGAAAAAACCCGAUCCGGUCAUUGACCCGCCCGUCUCCAGGAAUCCCACACUCUAAACCGCCGUUUAUUAUGUUUGUGGUUAAACCAAAACCGCUGGUCCGGUUAGCCGCCAAAUCCGCCGCCGUAGGUCGGUAUUUUCCGAUCAUGACGUCAUGGCACGACGGUUUGGGACUCUGCGGCGUCAUCCAAAACCAAAGAGCUGUUUGGAAAGCUAUCACUGAAUUAUUUGACACCGUUUCUGGAUUCUUUAGACCGUCAAAUCCUAGAGCUCGACCGGCCGGUCCGUAAUUGUAGUUCCUUUUAUCCCCAAAAAAAAUUGGUAAUUAGAAACACUUAUGAUGGAAAAUCGGAUCUUGCAUUGAUAUAAUUUUAUUUAUCUCUAAUAUAGCCGUUGCUUUGGUGAAUCACUAAUAUAUGACUCUAAUUCUCUUGACUUGUGUAACAAAAAUCAGAUUUUCAUUUUCAAUGGAUUCUUAGUUAUGUAUUUGUAUAAAUACUUUGCAGGUUGCGGAUAACCUAAAUUUUACAAAGGAUUUUUUAACAAAUAUAAAACCGGAUCAUAUCUUUCAAAUUAUUACCACGUCUACCAUAAUUCUCAGUUGCAAUUAUUAUAUACUCGUUUACUUAAUUAUGAUAUAAUAUACGGACCAUUAUUAGUGAAAAUGAACCUACCACGAUAGUUGAAUUGGACCUCUUCCUUGAUAAGUCUUGUUAGGGAAACAAGGCCACUGCGUAUUAGAAGAAUCACAAUAAUUGCUUUGUGGACUCACUUCUUCUUUAAAGCACAAUCCCCAAGCGUACGGUCCGUCUGGUGCCGUUGCCCAUCCUCCUGUCGUUUCGUGUGAAAUCUGAGCCAAAAACGCAGCCACUUCGAGCCGCUGUGUCGCGGGGCUUCCUAUGCUCGCGAAUCUCGGAAACCGCCUCGUCGCCUGCACGAAGGAUUCGUAAGUGUAGAAACCGUUUGCGGGACAAGCAGUAUUGUCCUUGUGGAUGAAAAUUUUGUAGUAGAGGUCUCUUGGCACCAAUCUCUCGAUUGCGGUGGCUUCGGUUUGGCAGGAAGAUAGUAAAUAAGAGAUUGAGAGGAAGAAGCAUAAGAGGAGAAUAGAGUGUUGAGCCAUUUUUGGAGGGAUCUUGGUGGUUUUGGUGUAAGAAGACGAGUCUGUUAUAUAGAUGUGUAAAUGAUCAACGCGUUGACUUUUGACUUUAACGGUGGACUUUUUUUUCAUUGGUCUGAAUCUGAAGGUUCGUUUUAUCGUUUAUACAUGCUCUCAUGUGUUUUCAUUCAUCAAAUGAUGCUUCUCACGUUAAGUGAUACUUUUCAUAUAUAUUUUGGGUAUAAUUUGUCAUAUAGUUUACACCUUAAUUAGAUAUCAAGACAACAACGUCAAAAAGCGAAGCCAUGCAGAAGAAAAACAACAAAAGCAAUUAUUAUUUAUUGUAGAGAAAAACAAAUAACGGUUCUUCACUGAAAUGACAGUUUUUUGGAGCUAAAACUUUACUAAAUAUGAAACCUAGAUCAUACUAAAUAAAAUCUACUUUUCACUAUAAUCAUUGAAUGAUAUAGAUAGUGUGUAUUAGUUUGUAAUGUAAAUUAAAAAUACGAUUAGAAUGAUUGUGGAUGACGAUAUUUUAUUCGGUCGACGUUGCAGUAUUACGGAAUAAGACCGAUUUCAAUUUUUAAAGUUUGAAGACCCAUUCUUGCUAUGGAAAAUCUCAUUAUUUUUUUCUGGAUGGAUGGAUUUUCAAAGACUCAUUCGUAUUUUUAUUAUGUGGUGGAAUCUACACAAAAAUUUCUCGUUCGGCGGCUAACUAAUUGGUAAAGUAUAAAACUACAUUUUAUUAUAUAUGUUCUUAAUGUAGAGCCAAAACAAAUUAAGCUUUUAGUUGUGCAAAGGUUGACAAAAAAAAAGUCAAUAAACCCAUUUCUUUUUCUGAUUUCUUAUUCCAAAAUAUAAACUAAAAUUCUAUUCCUUACUAUCUGAGUAUCUUCUUCCCUAAAUUCAUGAUUAAACUUCUAAGAAAAUCACAAUCUCUAUGAAACAAAUCUCAUCUUUCGAAGAAGAUAUUUAGUUAUAAAAAAUUUCAAACAGAUAUUUUUUUGUUUCUUCUUAAAAAAAUCACAAUUCAUCGUACUAUCUUAUUACUUUGGAUUUAUUCAUCUCAUGUCGAUUAGUGCCUAAAGAGUUAUAUGAAAUACGUGAUUAAAAACAAUCCUAAUUCAGAGAGAGUAUCUAACUUAAACGACAUCAAUUAGCCUUAUGUGUUGUAAACUACACGCCGUUUUUAUGCAUCUUAAACGACAUAAAGUUCUUGCCUUAAACCCUACCAUCGUCACUCCGACCUCAAUAGUAGUCGAUAGGUUAGAGAAGAAACAAGAUUUUGAUCGAUUCUUAACUACAACCAAAAUGAAUUUCCGUAAUCUGAUUACUUCCGGUUCUCGCCUCGGCAAGAGAUUCUGUGCAACAGUCUUUGCUCCGGCGUCGGCGACUGGCGUCGUCGAAGCCUCUGUUUCUUCUCCAGCGGCGGCGAAUGGCGUCGAAGCCUCUGUUCCUGCUCCGACGGCGGCGUCAAGGCAGCGAGAGUUGUACAAGAAACUAUCGAAGCUUAGUGUGGCGGGAGGGACAGUGGCAGAGACGUUAAAUCAGUUCAUCAUGGAGGGUAUUACGGUCAGAAAAGUCGAUCUCUUUCGCUGUGCGAAGGACCUUCGCAAAUUCCGUCGACAUCAACACGCUCUUGAGGUCCCAUUUUCUUAUCUCUUAAGCAACUAUUUGAUUUUAGAUUCAAGAUCUUUGUCAAAAGUUUUGUGAUUUCACUAACUUUAGGAUUAAAAAUGACAUUUUUAAGUUUGUGAGUUCACUAGUUUUAGAGUUUGAUUGAUUAAGGACAUUGUUAAUGGAAUUUCAGAUCUUUGAUUGGAUGGAGAAGAGGAAAAUGACAUUUUCUGUCUCUGACCAUGCAAUUCGUUUGGAUCUAAUUGCAAAGGCUAAAGGCUUAGAAGCAGCUGAGAACUAUUUCAACAACUUAGAUCCUUCUGCAAAGAAUCAUCAGUCGACUUACGGGGCGCUCAUGAACUGUUACUGUGUGGAACUUGAGGAAGGGAAAGCAAAGGCUCAUUUUGAGAAAAUGGAUGAGCUUAACUUUGUUAACAAUUCGUUACCGUUUAAUAACAUGAUGUCUAUGUACAUGCGGUUGAGUCAACCCGAGAAGGUACCUGUUUUGGUUGAUGCAAUGAAGCAGAGGGGUAUAUCUCCUUGUGGGGUAACUUACUCUAUAUGGAUGCAGAGCUGUGGAAGUUUGAAUGACUUAGAUGGAUUAGAGAAGAUUAUUGAUGAAAUGGGCAAAGACAGUGAAGCUAAAACCACUUGGAAUACUUUCUCUAAUCUAGCUGCAAUCUUCACUAAAGCAGGUCUUUACGAGAAGGCAGAAUCUGCGCUGAAAUCUAUGGAGAAGAAGAUGAACCCUAACAACCGUGAUUCCCACCAUUUUCUCAUUAGUUUGUACGCUGGAAUCUCGAAAGGUACUGAGGUUUAUAGAGUUUGGGAAUCGCUGAAGAAGGCUCGUCCUGAGGUCAACAACUUGAGCUAUCUUGUCAUGUUACAAGCAAUGAGUAAACUCGGCGACAUAGAUGGGAUUAAGAAGAUUUUCACAGAGUGGGAAUCAAAAUGCUGGGCGUACGAUAUGAGGCUGGCUAAUAUCGCGAUUAACACGUAUUUGAAAGGGAAUAUGUAUGAAGAAGCAGAGAAGAUUCUUGAUGGUGCCAUGGAAAAGUCUAAAGGACCUUUCUCCAAAGCGAGACAGCUUCUGAUGAUCCAUCUGUUAGAGAAUGGUAAAGCGGAUUUGGCUAUGAAGCAUUUGGAAACAGCAGUUUCUGAUCCCGCAGAGAACAAAGACGAAUGGAGCUGGAGCUCAGAGCUAGUCAGCUUGUUUUUCCUUCACUUUAAGAGAGCUAAAGAUGUUGAUGGAGCAGAAGAUUUCUGCAAGAUUUUGUCAAAUUGGAAACCUGUUGAUUGUGAAACUAUGAGCUUUCUCAUAAAGACUUAUGCAGCGGCAGAGAAAACUUGUCCUGAUAUGCGAGAGAGAUUGUCUCAACACCAGAUCGAAGUAAGCGAGGAGAUCCAAGACUUGCUUAAAACAGUUUGUCCUUAAAUUAACAUUGCAGUAAUUGGUAAUGAUUGUUAUUUGAACAUUAUGUUUAAACUUGUGUCUCGUUUAGAGUUCAAUCUUCUUGAAUCUUGUUUCAGAAAACAAAGCUUAGCUCUUUUUAGAGUCCUUGACAAUGUGUCGGUUACAUAUGGGAAGAUUUUAUAAAAUUAGCUUUGUUUAUGUUGUGGAGUACUCAUCAACAAAAUUUAUCACUUUUAAAAAAAAUUGUCAACCAAUAAUAUGUUUGUUUAUCCAAAUCCGAUAACCGACUUACUUGUUAAGUGUGGGUGUGGUCCAUGACCCAUGUUAUUGUUAGUGCCACCAACUAAGUUAGGAAAAUGUUUUAAAAAAAAAAAAAAAAAAACUUUAUCCACAAGAGAAAAAUUACUGGUUAAAACUUAAAAAUAGCUUUAGAAAGGACAAAUUACAAAUUAAAUACUGUAAAAUUUAGUAAAUCUACAGUUUCUUUAACUGCCUAUUUCCUUUUUGAUUCUAUCUUUUACAAUUGGAAACUAAAUAUUUGAUAAUCAAUUUUAUCCAAUUGUGAUAAGCCUAAACAAAUCUGAUUUUUUUUUUUGUACAAUAAAAGGAGAGAGAAAUAAAUAAAAACAAUCGGCGUUAGAUUCUGUAACAAGCUGGCACGUCUCUGUAUCAGUCGCAACGUUCCUAUUUCUUUCUUUGUCAAUCCGUUCGGCGACACAACAAUCCAAAAAAACAUUCUUAGCUUUUUUUUUCUGUUUCUUUAUAUACUUUUACACAACGCGGAGAUAAUCUCGGAUACAAAACAGAGAAGAUAAAGGACAAGUCUUUCUCAAAUUUUCCACCUUGAAGAACCCUAAUUUGAGGUUAGUACUUCUACUCUUAAUCCUUCUUCUCUUUUUUUCCAGUGCCGCAUUCGCAAGUUCUUCCUUAUUCCAAGUUAUUAAUGGGUUUUGACACUCGUUGCGAAAGGUUUGAACUUUUUCUGCUUCGAUUGAAUUCUCUGUGAUUUGUGUAUUUUUGCAGAGUUUCGUCUUAAGUCUGUAAUCAUUGUUUAGCUUAGGGCUUUUCUUCGAGAACUGGUGCUGCAUUGUUGUCUCUGUUCACCUGUUUGUUUUGCUCUGUCUCCUUGUGAGAGAAUUUGGGAAAUCGAAUUUUGAGUAUAGUGAUUUCAAAAUUCUCUUCAGUUCCCUAAUAAUAUAUAAGGAUUGUUCGUGGAUGAGUUUAAAGGUAUAUAAGUCACUGAUUUUGGUGAGUUAAGCAAAAUCAAUUGUCAUGGUUACUUUCUCUUCUUUGUUAGGGUUUUAGGUGAACCAGAAGAAUUAGUAUUCUUCUGUACCCGUUUGUCUUUAUUACUUUUGUGUGUGUUAAGGAUGAUUGGUAUGCUAAUCUCUCCUAUCAUUCGUUUUUCAUGUUCUAGGACGAUUGAGGAAGUUGCGAGUUUCGAAAGCUGGAAAGCGGUUUAUCCAGGGAGGAGUAAAGGGUUGAAUCAGCAUUUGUGUUUGUGGGCUUUAAGUAGGUGCAGUUUGAGGAGAGAAAGUUAGUGUGGGAUGGAUCAAAUGUUUUCAGGAGAACAAGAUCUUGAAGUGGAUAUUGAAGCUGGUCGAUCUGAUGAUACACAAGAAUCCACAUCAGAUACUGUUUCAGGCAAUGGGGUCUGGAGUGACCGGGUGAAUUUCGGUGUGUCUGAAAAGAUUGCUGAUGAUCUGAUCUAUCCAUUAAUGGGAGACGAAAAGCGGGUAGAAACUAGCAGUCAAAGUUUGGAUCUUUCAGAGAAAAAAUGCGAUAAUGGAAAGUUUAAGAAGUCGAGAAAAGCUUCAAAGCCUCCGAGACCUCCAAAAGGCCCUUCCUUGAGUGAGAACGACCGUAAGAUCAUGAGGGACAUACAAGAGCUAGCUAUGAGAAAGCGUGCAAGGAUUGAAAGGAUGAAAAAUUCCCUAAAAAGAAUGAAAGCAACCAAGUCGUCACCAUCAUCUCCAUGCAUUAGCAUUUUUUCGAUGAUAAUAACAGCUCUAUUCUUCGCCUUUCUAGUCUUCCAAGGUACCUUUUUCAGUCUCUUAGUGAACAUUAGCUUUUUUCUUAUUCCCUUUUCAACUCUGAAUUAAUCCAAAAAUUGCUACUUUGGCCUUGAUAUGAAUUUGACUCUGAAGAAAGAUUCUCUAUGGUUGAGAUUCAUUGGUUUAAGAUACUCUGGCUUAACUUGAAAACUAUCUAAUUAGUCUUUUAUCAUCAGAUUUCUUGGAUAAACAGAGUUUGUUCUGUUGUUGUUUCACGGGGAAGACCAAAAACGUCUUAAAAACAACUCUUGUUUUGGUGUUGCAGGAUUCUCUGCAAGCAGUUCGAGUUUGAGUUCGGAUAAAUCACCUGCACCAACUGUUUCACCUAACAACCAAUUGAUUUCAGUUCACUUGUACAAUGAUUUUGCUCCCGUUGAGCAAACCGAUCCCAGCCCGACCACCUCAUUCAGGUAAGAAGAAGAAGAAGAACAACAAUUUCUGUAACUCAUUCUCAUUGUUAAAUCAAAGAAGACACUUUCUAAAAACCAGUGCUAAUAUGAACAAUUUUGUCCUUUGAAUGAAUCUCUGUAAAUUCAGGUACACGAGGAAGCGAAUUUCGGGUGCAGAGGAAGAAGACUCGAGAGACGUUACUAGAUGAGUUCUCUGUUUGGUCUUCUUGACUCAAACGGUUAACUCUUUUGGUCAAAGUUUUGUUCAUAGGCUAAAAUUUGUAUAAAACGACUGCGUUUUAAACAAUGAGGAUGAUAUUUCACUAACCGGGAGAGUUUUCAAUUGUAUUUUGAAAAUAAAAGAUUGUGAGCAUCGUAGGAAUUUCGUGAUUGGGGUAUUUAAUGAAGAUGUAAAACUUGUUGUUGACCGUACAAUAGAAAAAAUUAAUUUUUUGUUCAAUGCGAAAAAUCUGAAAAUGACUUCCAUACCAAUUGGAUUCUGCAACGUUUAUGGUCUAUAACGAUAUCUAACAUUUCAAACCCUACACAAAUAAAUUCUAUAUGUCAAAAACAUAAUUUUUCUACUCAAUAUAGAAAUUUUCUUUUUGAUGAGAAAAUGAAUUUUAUGGCUGGUCUAUCUGCUAAGUGUUACCCUGCAAGAGAAGAGAUAGCAAUCCACAAAAUUAUUUUUUUUGUCGUAUAUGAUAAUAAUAUAGUUGUAGAAGUGUAAUCAAUCCAUUUUAUAAUGUCAAGAUUAUCAACUUUUGUUUAGUAUAUAUAUCUCUACAGAAUGAGAAUUAGAAAUACUUUUAAUAGAGGCUUUUAUUGGAUAUACGAAAAAUCAUUGACAAUUUGCGUAUUUGACUAAAGUUUCUAAAUAAAAGAAAAGUACACCCAAUUGGAGAACUUUCGUCUUCAAGUUGAACUGAUUAAUGAAUUUAAUUUUGUAAUUAACAUCGAAACUUUAGUGUGAACAUAUGUAUACAUACAUAUACAUCUACUCCUUUCUUUGGUUAUGAUUAUUUUGGAGAGUACAUACAUAAAUUAGGUAUACGUCGCACAUGAUUGAAUGUUUGAAAAUUUUCAGACAUAACACUAAUUCAUAUGAUUAAUACAUUUUCUACGAUUUUUAGACAUGUCUUGUACAAUACGGCCCAAAUUUCUCCCUUUGUUUCAAACUGAUAUCUAUUUUAUCUUUUACCUAUUUUCAUAUAUAAAAUGUCCUUAAACAUUUUUAUAUUCUUACUAAUGUAUUUUCAUUUGGCUAUAACUCUCUAUAAUUAAGGUUUUUUUUUAUACUUAGGACGUCCUAAUUAGUUCUUAGCCACUGAUGGACAUUUCAUUUCUUAGAACAUUUAUUGAAAAUUAUACCUCAUGUCUUGUAAAACAGAUUUAGAAUUUUGAAAUAACAAUCCUUUGUGUAAUUCGAAAGCUAGAAUACAAUAACAUGUAAAUUUUUAUUUCUGUUAUUAGAAAAAUAACCAAUCGAAGAGAACAAUUCGCAACACUAAACGGAUCUCCGUCAGUAUAAUCUCUUAGUCAACUUUAUUCUUUUAUUAUUUUUUCAAAUGAUAAAUGUAGUCAAGUGGCUCGAUCUCUCAGCAGCCGAGUGAUUGGAAAUUGAAACUAAACUAUAAGUCUACAGCUAAAAGACUUGUAUGCUUGAGAAUUAACAUUAGUGUAUUCAUAAUAUUUGACUCAUAUUCUUAUAUUCACAUUCAAUAUCUGUUAGUUAAUUUAUCUCUGGUAGAAAACAGAUUUAAGUUAACAAACUCUAAUUAGAUUAUUUGUUUUCUAUAUUUAAUUUAUAUCAGAACCGAACCUAAAAAAGAAGCCGACUUCAAAUUGAAUUAUUCCUUGAGUCUCACAUUAUAUCUUUUCGUAGAGACACAUUAAUAUUUUGAAUAGAUCAAACCGAACUAAAUAUCGACGCGUGCGUGUACUUUUCAGAUUGAAACAUUCAGAUCAUUAAUUAUAAUCAUGCAAGCUGUACGGGAAGGAAGAAGUGGAACCAUCAUCGAUGGCAUUCCUUGUAAAUAUUAAACACGUUCGAAGGGUAUUUUCGUCAUGGUAGCAUUAUAUAAAUGUCAGCCCCUUCCGUUUCUCUCGACAUGCAGAGUCUAGAAUCCAGUGACGCCAUAUACUAUAGUAAUUGGAAAACGAGAGGUCAAAACCAUGUCCGGUAAUAAGAUCUCGACUCUUCAAGCUCUUGUCUUCUUCUUGUACCGGUUUUUCAUUCUCCGUCGUUGGUGUCAUCGUAACCCUAAACAAAAAUUCCAAAAAUGCCCUUCUCACGGCCUCCACCAAGCUCAAGACCUAUCGAAUCACACUUUGAUAUUCAACGUCGAAGGAACUCUACUCAAAUCAAACUCUUUAUUCCCUUACUUCAUGGUUGUAGCUUUCGAAGCCGGAGGGGUAAUAAGGUCACUUUUCCUCUUCGUUCUGUAUCCAUUUAUAAGCUUAAUGAGCUACGAAAUGGGUUUGAAGACGAUGGUGCUGUUGAGCUUCUUCGGAGUUAAAAAGGAAAGUUUUCGAGCCGGGAAAGCAGUUUUGCCUAAGUAUUUUCUAGAAGAUGUUGGGCUCGAGAUGUUCCAGGUUUUGAAAAGAGGAGGCAAGAGAGUUGGUGUGAGUGAUUUACCACAAGUUAUGAUUGAUGUGUUCUUGAGAGAUUACUUGGAGAUUGAAGUUGUGGUCGGAAGAGACAUGAAAAUGGUCGGUGGUUACUACUUAGGCAUCAUGGAGGAUAAGAAGAAACAUGAGUUUGCUUUUGAUAAAGUGGUUCAAGAAGAAAGGCUUAGCAGUGGUCGUCUUAUUGGCAUCACUUCCUUCAACUCGCCAAGUCACAGAUCUCUAUUCUCUCAAAUUUGCCAGGUAAAUUAUCAUUAUAUGUAUUUUUUUGGUGAUUCUAAAAGAGGGUUUGGUCCAACAAUUGAUGGUCUCAUUAAAAACAGACGUAACUGUAAUUUUCUGAGACAGACAAAGACAAAUCCUUAUGUUGCUUUUCUAAUUUUGUAAAAUAAAACAGUACGUUUUAGUUUGUUGAAUUUUCGAUAUUUAGGAACUUAAUAAUAUUAAAAUAUAUGAUAUAAAUAUAAGUUCCAAUAGAAUUUCUUUGGUUUUAAAUGUGGCUCUUUAAACGAAGAGAGAUGCAUUGAUAUUUUUAAAAAAAUAUAAAAUGCAAUUAAUUUCCAUUGACUAAGAAUUGCUGUAAUCUAGUACUGCGUCACAAAUCAGACUAAUAUAGCAAGUAAAUGCUAUUUUGAAUAUUUUUUGAAAUGAAUAUGUUAUUAAGUUCUGAUGCAAUUAAUUCAACCAUAGAUUACGACUUGUAUAAUCCUUACAAUAAAGUUGUAGUAAUAUUUUUUCAUGCAACAGGUCCACUUCAACUGAUAUAUUUCAUUUCCUAAUGAUAAUCUUUCCCUAAUGCAUUUUUCAUAAACAGGAGAUUUACUUCGUCAGGAAUUCAGACAAGAAAAGUUGGCGAACCCUACCACGAGAUCAAUACCCUAAACCAUUGAUUUUCCACGAUGGUCGUUUAGCGAUCAAGCCAACACCUUUAAACACAUUCGUAUUAUUCAUGUGGGCCCCAUUCGCCACAGCCUUAGCCGCUGCAAGACUCGUCUUCGGCCUAAACCUACCUUACUCCCUAGCCAAUCCUUUCCUCGCCUUUUCCGGUAUCCACCUUACUCUCACCGUUAAAGACCUAAUUACUUCCGAUCGUAAAAAAGGUUGUCUCUUUGUGUGCAACCAUAGAACGUUACUAGACCCACUUUACAUUUCAUACGCUCUAAGAAAGAAAAACAUCAAAGCCGUUACAUAUAGUCUAAGCAGAUUAUCUGAGCUUCUAGCUCCGAUCAAGACCGUUAGAUUGACUCGUGAUCGAGUCAAAGAUGGUGAAGCCAUGGAGAGAUUGUUAAGCCAAGGAGAUCUCGUGGUUUGUCCGGAAGGGACUACGUGUAGAGAGCCUUACUUGCUUCGGUUUAGUCCACUUUUCUCCGAGGUUUGUGACGUCAUUGUACCUGUUGCUAUUGACUCACACGUGACAUUUUUCUAUGGCACGACGGCUAGUGGUCUUAAGGCCUUUGAUCCCAUUUUCUUCCUUUUGAAUCCUUUUCCUUCCUACACCGUCCAAUUGCUUGACCCUGUCUCUGGAAGUACAUCGUCCACGUGUCCAGAUCCUGAUAAUAGAAAAGCGAAGUUCGAUGUGGCUAAUCACGUGCAGCAUGAGAUUGGGAAUGCGUUGGGGUUCGAGUGCACCAACCUCACGAGAAGAGAUAAGUACUUGAUCUUGGCCGGUAAUAACGGAGUUGUCAAGAAAAAAUAAUGGUUUUGAAUUUUUUUGUUUGUUUUCUUAAUUAGGGCCUUUUUGUGUGACGUACCAAUAUGCUUUAUCUCUUAUAAGAAACUUUUCUAUGAUGUAACUAUCUUUUUUUGUUAAAUGUAAUUAUCUUUUUGUGUGACCAAUACGAUAUAUAUGUACAUGCAUUACUGAUAUCCUAUAACGGCUUGGCCGUAUCUUCAUAGUGAAAACUCCAAAUAACUGACAUGCAUAUGUACUCCAUUAAAUGUAUAUUUAUUUUGCUAGUGUUUUUAUAUAAAGUAAGGUAAAUAUCAAUAUUUUUAUACAAAAUAUAAUGGUAAGUGACUAAUUAGUGUCAUUUGAAUUCUGACAGAGUUACCAAAAUUUUUUUUUUUUGGUCGACCAAAGAGUUACCAAUUUAAAGACAUCAAUUAGGAAAAGUAUUAGAAGCAGAGCCGGUUAUUGGCAUGUGCAAGUGGUGCAUUUAUACCGGGUUCAACAAAUUUAAGGUCCAAAUUCAUAGUUUUUCUAUUAUUUAACUAUUUAAUUAUGCUGAAAGUUUAUAAAAUAUUUAUAUGUAAAGGUCCUAAAAUUCUAUUUUAAAAGGUAAUAUUGAAGCCCAAAAUUAAUAAACAAAAAUAACAGGUCCAAAUAGCUAAAAAUACAAAAUAGUUUAUGAAAUAUAACUUUUUGUAAAAAAAAAUGAAAAAAAAAUAUAUAACUUUUUUGUUCUUUAUCCAAAUUUUUUAUUAAAGAUAGGAUUUUUUUUUGUAUGGCACCGGGUCUUGCCGACAAGUGAGCCGGACCUGAUUAGAAGAUGUUAUAAAUUAAUUAGAUAUGAGAUUUUUUUGUUUUCCCAGACAAUUUCAAGAUAUUUAGAGUGGGACUCAUGCCGAUAAUUGUGGCCUUGUGGGGUUAGAGUUUGUGUGUCAACCCUACGCAUCUUCCCACCUAACUAUGUUUAAUGCUUCUUCAAUCUUUGUCUAAUUUCAUUGAGCGGCGAAUUAAAAAAUUGUUUUACAGAGGAAGAAAUAAUUUUAACCAACAAGAAUAAAAUAUUUAUGUAUAUAACAGAUAAAAGUAAAAACUUUUCUUAUACCAACAAUAAAAGAAAAGUUAAAAACUUUUUCACCGGUACGUGUGAUAUAACUUACCUGAAUCGUGUAAAACUUUUUUUUUUGUCGUAAUCGUGUAAAAGUAAUUUAAUACUCGCCAACAUCUGUAAGAAAACAAAACGUCAGAAAAAAUAGUUUGACAAAUUGUAAGGAGUUUGGUUAGAAACUUAAAUCCUAAAUGGGAUUUUGUGCCUUUCUCUAUUGCCUAUAAAAAUCAGCUUGGUCCAAAAAGUUAAAAAGAAAAUUAAUGGCAUGACUACAAAACUUUAAAUACUUAGAUAGCGCAAAAAAAAAAAAAGGAUAACAUGUUAGAAUGUCUCUAUUCUCUAAGAUGCUCGAACAGUUUUUUUUUUUUUCACUUCUAUUAGCCUAAACAAUCAAUAUAAAACAUAAAACAUAUAUCAGAGUUAAAAUAUUUAAUUACUAAGUAGUAACAUAUCGUCCAAGUAUUGAAUAGUUAUUCAUAACUAUAACUACAACAAUUCAGGAAUUACCAAUUAUUGUUGCCAGAGUGAUGGGCCGGGCCGGGCCAGGCCGAAUUGUUAAACUUAACGACUUCUUGGUCUGAGUAGGACUAGGAGACAGGACCAUUUCAAUAUACAGGUACCAUUGAGCCGAAACCUGCUACUGUUCUUGUCACUUCUUGCUAUAACUUCGGCCAAAAUGUUUGUUAUAUGUUAAAAACGCGAUUUAACGAUCAAGAACUACGGGCCAAUUUUUGUGUGCGGAAGAAGAGGACUGUCUUGUAAGCAAUACUACACGAUUGGAAUGCGAAUAUAUACCACAAUUAUGAUCUGAGAAAAUACCACAAUCAUCUGAACAACAUAAUAAUUUUAUAAAAAUAUUUUUAUUUUAAAAGUAGGCAAGGAAAACGAAAGAACUUCUCUUCCGAAUUUUUUUUUUUUUUUCUCUUCCGAAUUUCCUACCAAAUAAAAUAAUAAGAAGAAGAAUUGACAAAAAUGCAUUACCGAGUCUAAUCCGACGUGCUCACCAACUAUCCACCAUUUGUUUUCGAUGUUGUGGUGUGGAGCUUUCAUAUCUGCUGCAUCAUUAUUAAAAAAUAAAAUUUCACAUACAUUAAACGCAUAUAAUUAAACUUAUAACUUAUAACCUACGGCUUUAUGUAUGGAGCCAAUUUUAAUUCUCACAUGUUAAAUGAGAUUUGAAUGAUUUUGAAUUGAAAAAUGAUCAAUCUGCAAGAUAAUCGAGAUGGCUAAUUUAGUCGAUCGUUUUCUCCCCUUCUAUAUUAUGGUUGGACAUUUGUGUCGCCGGUUCUUUGCAUGCCACCAACUAAAUAAUUUGUGAAUAAUAUUUUCAUAAUUUUAGUAUUUCGUAAUUGCACAAAGUAUAUAGAAAACAAAAAAUAUACAUUUCAAUUCUUAUAUUGGCAAUCAUAUAUCAUGAUCGGACAAUUCUUAUAUUAUCCUCCCCCACAUAAUUAUGACACUAUGUCGGACACAUAGUGUUGACUAUGUCUUAAGAAAAAUAAGUAAUUUGAUAUUUUAAGAAGAGAGGAAAAAGCAUUUCAACGACCUAAGAGAUUCCAACGGCCGGUUUGCUCAUCCCAUUCCCAUGCAUGUGCCAUCCCAUUUGCUUUUUGUAGUUUGUGUCGCCGGUUCUUUGCAUGCCACAAACUAAAUAAUUUUAUUACAAACCUAAUUAUAUUUAUUGAAUACACUGCUCGUAAUUAGUAUAUUUCCUGUUCCGACAUUAGCCCAAAUUACGGUUAAAAACAUAUGUAUUCAUGCAUCCAGGUUCAUUUAAACUCGUAGAUGUGAUCUACUCAUCGUAAGACUUCAUUGGUCUUAAUAUUAAUAUGAUCCAAACCUCCAUACUAGUCAUAUUUAUCGAAAUUGGUAUUUUUUUCUUAUCAAUAUUGAAAUUAGUAUCUAUGCUAUAUAAUCUAACAAUGCUGAUAUACUUAAAUUGAAUACGAGUAAAAUAAAAACAUAAAUCAUAAAUGAAUGAAAAAAAAAUAGAAAACCUUAGAUUGGAUGUCUUGGAGUUGGGUGACCGACUGUCUACUUUAAACUCAUAAUUGAUCUAAAAUAUGUGUAUAUAAGUUCAACAUGACGUAUAAAUCAUAAAUUAAUAUGGAAUUGUUUUACAAAUGGUCACCAAAAUUUAAAAUGAUACUAUUAGUUAGGUUUGAUAUAACCGAUAUGUAUGUUUCAUUCACGGGGAUAAUGUCGGCUAAUAUGUCAGAUGACAUGUUCCAUUGAUCCAUACUGUCUCUGGUCAACUUUUCUCCCAUACUUCUUCUUAUAUUUUAUAACUUAAAUAUUUAAAUGAAUCGAAAGUAUCCAUAUCUCUCAUUUAAUUUGUUGUUCGAAUAUUGUAAAAUAAAAUAAAAAAAUGUUGUCCAAAUGUGGCUUUUUCCAAUUUGAUCCGGUUAAUCUCUAUAUUUUUCCGAUUAAAAGUUUGCGGUUCACUUUUGUACCUAAGAACAACUUGAUUUUUUAUUAUAUCAGCUGAUUACAUUGUUAUUUUAAAAACGUCCCCUUGAAUUGUUAUCAACUAAAUAUUUGUUUGAAUAAACUUAAAAAAAAAAAAAAAAAAAUUGACUGCUAAACUUUUGUUUGUAAAAAAACUUCUACUAAAGAACGUGUUUGUCUUUAGAAACAAUCAGUAUCCAGGUUUUCAAAUGUACGCGACUGAACGAGAACUCCAAUGCAAAUUUUUGAAAACCAAUGAACUAAAAAAAGUGGUCAUAUAAUAAUAAGUAAUACAGUAAAUGGGUAGGUACUAGGUAUUGGUGGAGAAAAGAGUUGAGAGGUUGAAAGGAUAUGGGCUAUGAAAAAGAGUCUCUUAGUUAAUCGGACGGCUAAUGGUAGCCGUCAAGGUUGACCAUUUCCACUACGUGCCGACAUAUCAGCCUUACACAUGCCCAUCCUCCUCACCUUUCCCACUUCCUUGUGACUCUUUUCCACGCGCUUCUUCUAGCAUUUGCUUCUUCUUCCUUUUUGCCUCUUCAUCAGAAAAAUAUUAGUAUAAAUUUAAAUAGAUAAACGAAAGACAAAUCCUGAAAAUGUUAAUUUACAUUUUGUUGGUCACGAUUAACAAAUUAUCAAUUGUGAUGCAUGUUUAGAUAGGCUAGGUGCAUAGGUUAAUUCUCUCUAGCUUGAAAAAAAAGAGACACCCAUUAGUAUUUCUCAAAGCUGAAAUACAAAACUCACAUUUUUUAGAAAAAUCUAAACUAGUUCUUCGGAUUUUUUUUUUAAAUAAAUCAUAAACUGUUGUUAUUUUUUUGCCAAACUUAUCAAUAUUCUAAUAUCUAAGAUCGGACUCUUCCUAUUAACAAUCUCAAUCACAACAAUAAUUGAUCAACUUCUAUUGUAUACUUUAAUUCAUUAAUAAGAAAGCAAUAUUAAAUAUACGCGAGUCUUAUGACUAAUCAAACACGGUGAUUUAGGCAAUAAGUGCUCAAUCUUUAAAUUAUUUUAAGAAUUGAACAUAUCAACAUCUACUACUUAAUUUCAUAUCACCAAAUUUCAAACUACCCGAUUUUAAUAAUAACAAGGUUGCGCAAGAAUGUUGACAAAAAAAAAGUUGUAAAUGUAUAAUACAAUUUUUUAAGAAAAAAUAUAUCAAAUAUCAUAAUCUUAAAAUAAUUUGUUUUGUACAAAUUAAAAUCCAUUAUAAUGGAGAGAAACAUUGUAUAUAUAAUUUCAUUAUUAAUAGACAUGCUAUACUCAUCUUGGCAAUACUUUUGUUUUUAAAGAACUCGACCGUCCCCAUUGAUGACAUGCCCACCUUACGCGAUUUAUAUGAUGAGACGAUUACUUUAAAUUUCCCCAUUUGUCAACCGUAGAAUUUAAAACUAAAUUCGAAAAAGACUUUAAAUAAAAAUAUUUAUUUUAUCCAAAAUCUACCUUUCUUCUCUUCCCAUACACUAUAUAUAAUCGUCACUCUUCUUCUUUCAGAUUCAAAACCUCCUGCUUCAUUCUUUACUACUAAUAAUAAUUUUAAAAGUAAAACAAAAGGUUAUGGUUUUGCCAUCUUCAACACCGUUACAAAUCACCGGAAAGAAGACGAAAUCCUUACCGGAAUAUAGCUUUCCGGUGAUCGAUUUCUCCUUAAACGAUCGGUCAAAACUAUCGGAGAAGAUCGUAAAAGCCUGUGAGUGUAAUGGGUUUUUCAAGGUGAUAAACCACGGAGUUAAACCGGAGAUAAUAUCGAGAUUCGAGCAUGAAGGAGAAGAGUUCUUUAAUAAACCGGAAUCGGAUAAGCUACGAGCCGGUCCGGCGAGUCCUUUCGGUUACGGAUGCAAGAACAUCGGCUUCAACGGCGAUUUGGGUGAGCUUGAGUAUCUUCUUCUCCACGCAAAUCCGACAGCUGUCGCUGAUCAAUCUGAAACUAUAUCUCAUGAUGAUCCUUUCAAGUUCAGGUACGUAUACAUAUUUCACUUUCUUUUUUUCGUACAUGUUUUACAUAUUAUAAAACUUAAUUUAUAAAGCUAUCAAACUUUUCUUUU